Molecule: small nuclear RNA, 100 nt
Filed under: Cyprinodon variegatus (sheepshead minnow)
Lineage: Eukaryota; Metazoa; Chordata; Actinopteri; Cyprinodontiformes; Cyprinodontidae
Source: RNAcentral
GCUAUUUGCUUGUGAGCUAAUGACAUAUGCAAGAUUAUAGAGAAAAUUAGCAUUACCCCUGCACAAGGAUGACAUGAUUGUAAAGUGUUUCUGUAGUUUU